AAAGUUUUUUUUUUUCUUUCGUUCCAGCUGUUGGAUGACAUAAAGGGAAACUAUAUCCUCCACGUAUGCUGCGGAAAGAAAAAAUAUCCUUAUGUGACUAAUUCAAGAAAUGCUCAUAUGGUCAAACUCAGAAAUGUUUGUUUUAGUAGGAUCAAAGAAAUCAUUGCACAGAUCGGCUGGGCGUCUGUAACAGCAAGUACGAACUCGAUUUGGCUGGAAUUGAAUUGCAGAAUAGACAACCAAUGUGUUAAUGUCUGCUUGAUGCUUCAUUUCGCGGUUCACAAAAGUUCGUUGGUGGCAACCUGUCCGCAUCGCCUCCGUAAGAAGAGGCCGCGCGUCGAGGUUUCCAGUUCAGUCACCUACUUCACGGCGUUAGGGAAGGGUAUGCCGCCUCACUGCAAAAGGGCGGAAUUACCGACGGAAAGGGGCGUAAACGCUGGGGCUUCCUGUACCUCCAUUCUCCACAAUG
Long non-coding RNA from Penaeus chinensis, 469 nucleotides. RefSeq lists it as uncharacterized. NCBI's taxonomy places the organism in Eukaryota, Metazoa, Arthropoda, Malacostraca, Decapoda, Penaeidae. The transcript has 4 exons. The record is from RefSeq and is a predicted model, not a curated record.